This 168-nucleotide ribosomal RNA is filed under the name Photobacterium damselae. RNAcentral describes it as "partial 23S ribosomal RNA". It matches the Rfam family "Bacterial large subunit ribosomal RNA", at positions 1 to 164 of the family's 2925-position model. The record is from RNAcentral. Lineage: Bacteria; Pseudomonadati; Pseudomonadota; Gammaproteobacteria; Vibrionales; Vibrionaceae.
GUUGUAUGGUUAAGUGACUAAGCGUACACGGUGGAUGCCUAGGCAGUCAGAGGCGAUGAAGGACGUACUAACUUGCGAUAAGCGUAGAUGAGGCAGUAAGAGCCACUUGAGUCUACGAUUUCCGAAUGGGGAAACCCAACUGCAUAAGCAGUUAUCUCAAUGUGAAUU